GUCUAGUGGACCUAAUUUGCAGAGGUUUUGAGUCCAUGUGGUUCCCAUUUAUAGCAAGUAAAAUAGAGGGUGUUCAGCACAUCUGAAAAUCCUGCUUAGUUUGUAUGAAGUCUCAAGUUCAUCACUCAAAUGUGGAGACAUUCAGCAACAGCAGCAGAUCAGUAUAAAACCAUUGAAAGAACAGAACACAAGACGGGAUGGGAGGAUUAAAAUAAGACAGCCAAUGUAAGGAGAUCUAUUGCUAUAAUUUCCCGUGACUGAUCAUCUCAACCUGAGACUGAAUUUUUUUUGAAAAGUUUGAACAGAAUCCAACCUGGCAUUUUGAUUGUUCUCUUGCUUUUGUGGCUUACUCAGGCCCUAUGGCCUCUGCUGAAGAUGAAGGAAACGCAUCAGAAGGGGGCCAUCAGGACUUUCCUGACCAGACAAAACUGGUAGUGAGAGCUCUGACUGCCUAGGAAGAGUAAGUGGAAGCUUCAGCUGAUACAAAAUGCAGCCUUGGCAUUGGAGUGCAGAGGAGGCUGUUGAUAUCUGAAAGCGGGUGCAUGAUCCUCACUCAAAAGUAAGCCUGUAUAAGAAUCAUAAAGGGAACAAAGGCUAGUAUAACAAUGUGUAAAAUAUAGCAUCAAGCAAAAGGGGG
This is a long non-coding RNA of Mauremys reevesii (Reeves's turtle), 637 nucleotides long. RefSeq lists it as uncharacterized. Lineage: Eukaryota; Metazoa; Chordata; Testudines; Geoemydidae. The transcript is spliced from 6 exons. The record is from RefSeq and is a predicted model, not a curated record.